UAAUACUCGCGGUCCAAGUCGCAGCCAUUUUUAUUGGGUCUAAAACAUCCGUAGCUUGUUUAGUAAGUUCCUUGUGAAAUUCCAUAUCUCAAAUAUGGAGCGCGCAGGGAGUACUGCUAAGCUAGAGACUGGAAGACGGAACGAGUACGUUUAAAGUAGCGGUAAAAUGUGUUAAUCUUAAACGGACUAACAAUAGCGAAGGCACGUUCCGAGGACAGUUCUGACAGUAAGGGAUGAAGGCUAGGGGCGCAAAACGGAUUAGAUACCCGUGUAGUCCUAGCAGUAAACACUGCACACUAAACAUCAGUACCUCCUCGAGAGGUAUUGGUGCUGAAGGGAAGCCGAAGAGUGUGCUACCUGGGAAGUAUAGUCGCAAGGCCG
Molecule: ribosomal RNA, 381 nt
Filed under: uncultured Halobacteria archaeon
Lineage: Archaea; Methanobacteriati; Methanobacteriota; Halobacteria
Description: bacterial SSU rRNA
Rfam family: Archaeal small subunit ribosomal RNA
Source: RNAcentral